AUUGAACGCUGGCGGCAUGCCUUACACAUGCAAGUCGAACGGCAGCACGGGUGCUUGCACCUGGUGGCGAGUGGCGAACGGGUGAGUAAUACAUCGGAACAUGUCCUGUAGUGGGGGAUAGCCCGGCGAAAGCCGGAUUAAUACCGCAUACGAUCUACGGAUGAAAGCGGGGGACCUUCGGGCCUCGCGCUAUAGGGUUGGCCGAUAGCUGAUUAGCUAGUUGGUGGGGUAAAGGCCUACCAAGGCGACGAUCAGUAGCUGGUCUGAGAGGACGACCAGCCACACUGGGACUGAGACACGGCCCAGACUCCUACGGGAGGCAGCAGUGGGGAAUUUUGGACAAUGGGCGAAAGCCUGAUCCAGCAAUGCCGCGUGUGUGAAGAAGGCCUUCGGGUUGUAAAGCACUUUUGUCCGGAAAGAAAUCCUUGGCUCUAAUACAGUCGGGGGAUGACGGUACCGGAAGAAUAAGCACCGGCUAACUGCGUG
This 486-nucleotide ribosomal RNA is filed under the name uncultured bacterium. RNAcentral describes it as "partial 16S ribosomal RNA". It matches the Rfam family "Bacterial small subunit ribosomal RNA", at positions 30 to 507 of the family's 1533-position model. The record is from RNAcentral.